GUGUUCGCUUCAGCAGCACAUAUACUAAAGUUGGAACAAUUACAGAGAAUAUUAGCAUGCCCCUUCCAUA
Gorilla gorilla gorilla (western lowland gorilla) is the source of this 70-nucleotide small nuclear RNA. The record is from Ensembl. NCBI's taxonomy places the organism in Eukaryota, Metazoa, Chordata, Mammalia, Primates, Hominidae.